GUGGUUGUGGCUCAGAGCUAGAGCUCUCGCCUACCACAUGUGAAGCCCUGGGUUUGAUCCUCAGCACCACA
RNAcentral lists this transfer RNA (71 nucleotides) under Marmota monax (woodchuck). The record is from Rfam by way of RNAcentral. Lineage: Eukaryota; Metazoa; Chordata; Mammalia; Rodentia; Sciuridae.